UAAAAAGAAUUUAAACAUCGUCAUUUCAAAAGUAAGUACUGUUCUGUGGUAAUACAACAUCUCGUUUUAUUUACCUAAAAUAUUUACCAUAUUUGUUAAAAUUUGUUUAUUUGUUUUAUAAUAUAAUUUUGUGAAUAUAAUAUAUUAUGUAUAUUAUAAGAAGUAAUGUUUAUAUUUUUGUUACAAUAUUGUCCGAUUUAAAAUCGUAUAUUUGUAUUUAAUUAUGAAUACAAAUAAUUUGUAUGUUUACAUAAAUUAUAAUUGAUUUCUAAAAGAUAGUGAGAGAAAAAUUAAAUAGUUUUCUCUGUUAGGAUUUAUUCAUAGCAUAAUAUUAAAAAGUCGAGCAAAAGAGAACUCAAGAACAGCUGAUUUUUUUAUAAGGAAUUGAAGAAAAUAUUUAAAAGCUGAUGAUUUUCACAGCCAUUUAUGUCGCGAUUUGUGGUCUUUCAGUUGUUUCAACAUCACCUAGGAAAUUAACAUUAAGAUAUCAGGAUCCUGCAUAUAACGAGAUAAGAACUAUGAUCUUGUUAGGAUACCUAUUCCGUCACAAUAUGAAGUGAAGAUAUUCAUGGUGUGGAAGUCGUUACUUUAAUUACAUAGUGCAUAUGAAAUUGGUCCUUUACAUCAUGUUUAAAAUUGACGUAAUGCUACUAUGCAAAAUAGUGAGAGAUGUGAACCCUAGGCAGAGCUACAGAAUUACUUUUGUUGAGAGACAAAUUAUGAUAGUGAUUAGAAUCGCAUAUUCUAGACUUUUACUUAAAAAAUGAUUUGUUCGGAAUGAACUUUUAUAGUGUGGAGGAAUACCUGCAAAUUAUAAUAUGAGGCCUACGUAUAUGAUAAUUUUAUUAUGAUCUGUUGUGUUUGUUUUUUUAUAUUUUGUAUUAUAUAUUUGUGUUAGCUUUAAGAAUUUAUUGACUAUUCCUAUACAAUUGUACAUUGUUUUAUGGAAAUAAAUAAAUGAUUGAUUGAUUGAAUAAGUUAGGAAACCAUACGAUCGAGAAAAAAACGGCUUCAAAGGCGACUGGGGAAUGAAAAUAUGAUAAUUUCAGUGAGGUCAAGCCCUAGAAGUCAUUUUCUUGGCUCGUACUAUUUUUUAAAGGCGCUCUAAGGUUGUAAUUUAUUUUUACAUUAAGUAAAUAUGAUUUUUAAAUGGUGUAGUUUAAGAUUGACCUCGCUAAAUUAUCAAUCGUCAUUCCUCAGCCGCCUUUGACGCCGUUUUUUUUAGACUAUUUGCUAUAACUAUGUUAUCUGUUAUGCAAAUACAUAUGUCAACAAGUAAAAAGCCAAUGAGAAAUUAGUUUCUGCUUGGAUCCUUACAGUGGCAUUUAACAAAAUAUAUAUUUUUUCAGGUUACAAUAUUUUAUUUAAUAUGAACCUGUAAAUGUAAGAAUAUUAUACAUAUAUUAUAUUUUUUACUCAGUCCCUAAAUAUAUUAUUAAAAUACAACACUUGUGUUUUUUAUUAAUAUCGUGUUAUGAUUAAUACCUAAUUAAUGUAAAAUUAUAUGGUAUGUAAAUAUCCUUACACUGAGAAUUCGUUUGGUCAAAAUAUUACUCUCUUACUAAUAUGAAUUUGAAAACUACAGAACAUUGUUUUUUUUUAGUUUUUGUGCUAAUAUUUCCACUUAAAAUUACCGAAUAUAUUUAUGGUAUAGGUAGGAAAAGAUGAAUUUUGUGCUUUUUAAUUAUACAUUAUAUUAAUUAUAUUAUUAUUGUAAAUAAUAUCUACUGAUAUUUAAUAUAAAAAAUAGUUAUUCACAUGCAUCUAUUUUUCUUUUGUUCCAUUAACAUUUUAGUUUAUCAAUUAUCAAUCACUAUACGAUAUACAAUACGUAUAAUAUCUUUUAAUUAUAUCUAACUUUUAAUUAUUGAAUAUUUAAUAAACAAAUUUUUUAUAGUGUUUGUUAAAUAUUUUAUAGCAUAUACUAUUAUGU
Molecule: long non-coding RNA, 1933 nt
Organism: Sitophilus oryzae (rice weevil)
Lineage: Eukaryota; Metazoa; Arthropoda; Insecta; Coleoptera; Curculionidae
Exons: 3
Source: RefSeq, a predicted model, not a curated record